GACGAACGCUGGCGGCGUGCCUAAUACAUGCAAGUCGAACGGUCUUUUCUAUGGAAGCUUGCUUCCACUGGGAAGAUAGUAACGAACGGGUGAGUAACACGUGGGUAACCUGCCCAUAAGAGGGGGAUAACACUUGGAAACAGGUGCUAAUACCGCAUAAUUCUUUUCUCCGCCUGAAGGGAAGAUGAAAGACGCUUUUGCGUCACUGAUGGAUGGACCCGCGCUGCAUUAGCUAGUUGGUGGGUAACGGCUCACCAAGGCCACGAUGCAUAGCCGACCUGAGAGGGUNAUCGG
This 294-nucleotide ribosomal RNA is filed under the name uncultured bacterium. RNAcentral's name for it is "partial 16S ribosomal RNA". It matches the Rfam family "Bacterial small subunit ribosomal RNA", at positions 28 to 307 of the family's 1533-position model. The record is from RNAcentral.